GUUGUCCAGAGGGUCAGCCAUUUGGAGCUUGG
RNAcentral lists this non-coding RNA (32 nucleotides) under Geobacter sulfurreducens PCA. The record is from RNAcentral. Lineage: Bacteria; Pseudomonadati; Thermodesulfobacteriota; Desulfuromonadia; Geobacterales; Geobacteraceae.